UACCUGCAGCUCAAGUGGUGAUCAUUAUUAUUGGGCCUAAAACGUCCGUAGCCGGUUUAGUAAAUGCCUGGGUAAAUCGUGUAGCUUAACUAUACGACUUCCGGGUAGACUACUAAACUUGAGACCGGGAGAGGUUAGAGGUACUCCUGGGGUAGAGGUGAAAUUCUGUAAUCCUAGGGGGACCACCAGUGGCGAAGGCGUCUAGCUAGAACGGGUCUGACGGUGAGGGACGAAGCCCUGGGGCACAAACCGGAUUAGAUACCCGGGUAGUCCAGGGUGUAAACGCUGCUUGCUUGAUGUUAGUUGGGCUCCGAGCCCAACUAGUGUCGGAGAGAAGUUGUUAAGCAAGCUGCCUGGGAAGUACGGUCGCAAGGCUGAAACUUAAAGGAAUUGGCGGGGGAGCACAGCAACGGGUGGAGCGUGCGGUUU
RNAcentral lists this ribosomal RNA (429 nucleotides) under uncultured archaeon. RNAcentral describes it as "bacterial SSU rRNA". It matches the Rfam family "Archaeal small subunit ribosomal RNA", at positions 474 to 903 of the family's 1478-position model. The record is from RNAcentral.